Small nuclear RNA from Sorex fumeus (smoky shrew), 103 nucleotides. NCBI's taxonomy places the organism in Eukaryota, Metazoa, Chordata, Mammalia, Eulipotyphla, Soricidae. The record is from RefSeq and is a predicted model, not a curated record.
GUGCUCACUUUGGCAGCACACAUACUAAAAUUGGAAUGAUACAGAGAAGAUCAGCAUGGCCUGUGCAUAAGGAUGACAUGCAUCAGAGAUACAGCACUGAGUC